GGAUCAGCCCGCGUUAGAUUAGAUAGUUGGUGGGGUAAUGGCCUACCAAGUCUACGAUCUAUAGCUGGUUUUAGAGGAUGAUCAGCAACACUGGGACUGAGACACGGCCCAGACUCCUACGGGAGGCAGCAGUGGGGAAUCUUAGACAAUGGGCGCAAGCCUGAUCUAGCCAUGCCGCGUGUGUGAUGAAGGCCUUAGGGUCGUAAAGCACUUUCGCCAGAGAUGAUAAUGACAGUAUCUGGUAAAGAAACCCCGGCUAACUCCGUGCCAGCAGCCGCGGUAAUACGGAGGGGGUUAGCGUUGUUCGGAAUUACUGGGCGUAAAGCGCGCGUAGGCGGACUGGAAAGUAUGGGGUGAAAUCCCGGGGCUCAACCCCGGAACUGCCUCAUAAACUAUCAGUCUAGAGUUCGAGAGAGGUGAGUGGAAUUCCGAGUGUAGAGGUGAAAUUCGUAGAUAUUCGGAGGAACACCAGUGGCGAAGGCGGCUCACUGGCUCGAUACUGACGCUGAGGUGCGAAAGUGUGGGGAGCAAACAGGAUUAGAUACCCUGGUAGUCCACACCGUAAACGAUGAAUGCCAGUCGUCGGGUAGCAUGCUAUUCGGUGACACACCUAACGGAUUAAGCAUUCCGCCUGGGGGAGUACGGUCGCAAGAUUAAAACUCAAAGGAAUUGACG
This 675-nucleotide ribosomal RNA is filed under the name Primorskyibacter sp. RNAcentral's name for it is "bacterial SSU rRNA". It matches the Rfam family "Bacterial small subunit ribosomal RNA", at positions 223 to 915 of the family's 1533-position model. The record is from RNAcentral. Lineage: Bacteria; Pseudomonadati; Pseudomonadota; Alphaproteobacteria; Rhodobacterales; Roseobacteraceae.